RNAcentral lists this ribosomal RNA (468 nucleotides) under uncultured bacterium. Its description in RNAcentral is "partial 16S ribosomal RNA". It matches the Rfam family "Bacterial small subunit ribosomal RNA", at positions 28 to 507 of the family's 1533-position model. The record is from RNAcentral.
GACGAACGCUGGCGGCGUGCUUAACACAUGCAAGUCGAACGGAAAGGCCCUGCUUUCGUGGGGUGCUCGAGUGGCGAACGGGUGAGUAACACGUGAGUCACCUGCCCUUGACUUUGGGAUAACUUCAGGAAACUGGGGCUAAUACCGGAUAGGAGCUCCUGCUGCAUGGUGGGGGUUGGACAGUUUCGGCGGUUGGGGAUGGACUCGCGGCUUAUCAGCUUGUUGGUGGGGUAGUGGCUUACCAAGGCUUUGACGGGUAGCCGGCCUGAGAGGGUGACCGGCCACAUUGGGACUGAGAGACGGCCCAGACUCCUACGGGAGGCAGCAGUGGGGAAUAUUGCACAAUGGGCGGAAGCCUGAUGCAGCAACGCCGCGUGCGGGAUGACGGCCUUCGGGUUGUAAACCGCUUUCGCCUGUGACGAAGCGUGAGUGACGGUAAUGGGUAAAGAAGCACCGGCUAACUACGUG